CCUACGGGUGGCUGCAGUGGGGAAUAUUGCGCAAUGGGCGAAAGCCUGACGCAGCCACGCCGCGUGAGCGAUGAAGGCCUUCGGGUCGUAAAGCUCUGUGGGGAGAGAAGAAUAAAGCCUGUGAAGAGCAGGCCUUGACGGUAUCUCCUUAGCAAGCACCGGCUAACUCCGUUCCAGCAGCCGCGGUAAUACGGAGGGUGCAAACGUUGCUCGCGAUCAGUGGACGUAGAGCGCACGUAAGCUGGCCGGCGAAAACCCUGGGCUCAACCCAGGAAGUGCAUCCAAAACUGGCGGGCUUGAAUCUCGGAGGGGGUCGGAGAAUUCCCGGUGUAGAGGUGAAAUUCGUAGAUAUCGGGAGGAAUACCAGUGGCGAAGGCGCCGACCUGGACGAAGAUUGACGCUGAGGUGCGAAAGCGUGGGGAGCAACCAGGAUUAGAUACCCGUGUAGUC
RNAcentral lists this ribosomal RNA (450 nucleotides) under uncultured bacterium. RNAcentral's name for it is "partial 16S ribosomal RNA". It matches the Rfam family "Bacterial small subunit ribosomal RNA", at positions 338 to 795 of the family's 1533-position model. The record is from RNAcentral.